Molecule: ribosomal RNA, 956 nt
Filed under: bacterium enrichment culture clone SeB10
Lineage: Bacteria
Description: bacterial SSU rRNA
Rfam family: Bacterial small subunit ribosomal RNA
Source: RNAcentral
CCAGCUUGCUGGGGGGAUUAGUGGCGAACGGGUGAGUAACACGUGAGUAACCUGCCCUUGACUCUGGGAUAAGCCUGGGAAACUGGGUCUAAUACCGGAUAUGACUGCUCCGCGCAUGCGGUGGUGGUGGAAAGCUUUUGCGGUUUUGGAUGGACUCGCGGCCUAUCAGCUUGUUGGUGGGGUAAUGGCCUACCAAGGCGACGACGGGUAGCCGGCCUGAGAGGGUGACCGGCCACACUGGGACUGAGACACGGCCCAGACUCCUACGGGAGGCAGCAGUGGGGAAUAUUGCACAAUGGGCGAAAGCCUGAUGCAGCGACGCCGCGUGAGGGAUGACGGCCUUCGGGUUGUAAACCUCUUUCAGUAGGGAAGAAGCGUAAGUGACGGUACCUGCAGAAGAAGCGCCGGCUAACUACGUGCCAGCAGCCGCGGUAAUACGUAGGGCGCAAGCGUUAUCCGGAAUUAUUGGGCGUAAAGAGCUCGUAGGCGGUUUGUCGCGUCUGCUGUGAAAGACCGGGGCUCAACUCCGGUUCUGCAGUGGGUACGGGCAGACUAGAGUGAUGUAGGGGAGACUGGAAUUCCUGGUGUAGCGGUGAAAUGCGCAGAUAUCAGGAGGAACACCGAUGGCGAAGGCAGGUCUCUGGGCAUUAACUGACGCUGAGGAGCGAAAGCAUGGGGAGCGAACAGGAUUAGAUACCCUGGUAGUCCAUGCCGUAAACGUUGGGCACUAGGUGUGGGGGACAUUCCACGUUUUCCGCGCCGUAGCUAACGCAUUAAGUGCCCCGCCUGGGGAGUACGGCCGCAAGGCUAAAACUCAAAGGAAUUGACGGGGGCCCGCACAAGCGGCGGAGCAUGCGGAUUAAUUCGAUGCAACGCGAAGAACCUUACCAAGGCUGGACAUGAAUCUAGUAAAGCGCAGAAAUGUGUCCCCUCUUGAGGCUGGUAUGCAUCAGGGG